CAGUCGCCGCGGUAAUACGUAGGUGGCGAGCGUUGUCCGGAAUUAUUGGGCGUAAAGGGAGCGCAGGCGGACAUAUAAGUCCAUCUUAAAAGUGCGGGGCUCAACCCCGUGAGGGGAUGGAAACUGUAUGCCUUGAGUGCAGGAGAGGAAAGUGGAAUUCCUAGUGUAGCGGUGAAAUGCGUAGAUAUUAGGAAGAACACCAGUGGCGAAGGCGACUUUCUGGACGAAAACUGACGCUGAGGCGCGAAAGCCAGGGGAGCGAACGGGAUUAGAUACCCGUGUAGUCCCUGUCUCUUAUACC
This 301-nucleotide ribosomal RNA is filed under the name uncultured bacterium. RNAcentral's name for it is "partial 16S ribosomal RNA". It matches the Rfam family "Bacterial small subunit ribosomal RNA", at positions 509 to 808 of the family's 1533-position model. The record is from RNAcentral.